GCUCCAAUAGCGUAUAUUAAAGUUGUUGCAGUUAAAAAGCUCGUAGUUGGAUUUCUAGAUAAGUGGGUACUUGUACUUUGCUUGUCUACCAGUCAUAGACUGUUACUGUGAGAAAAUUAGAGUGUUUCAAGCAGGCUGUUGCAGGAAUACAUUAGCAUGGAAUAACGAAUGUGUCUGGAAUAUUGGUUAAUUCUAGAUUA
Molecule: ribosomal RNA, 200 nt
Filed under: uncultured eukaryote
Lineage: Eukaryota
Description: partial 18S ribosomal RNA
Rfam family: Eukaryotic small subunit ribosomal RNA
Source: RNAcentral